GGUAAAAAAGCUCGUAGUUGGAUUUCUGUUGAGGACGACCGGUCCGUACCAUGUACGCGCAUCUGGCUCGGCCUCGGCAUCCUCUCGAUAGACGUUUCUGCGCUUGAUUGCGUGGAGCGGAUUUCGGGACUUUUACUUUGAGGAAAUUAGAGUGUUCACGGCAGGCUAUCGCCAGAAUACAUUAGCAUGGAAUAAUAUUAUAGGAUCUCGGUUCUAUUUUGUUGGUUUCUAGUACCGGGGUAAUGAUUAAUAGGGACAAUUGGGGGCAUUUGUAUCAACACGUCAGAGGUGGAAUUCUUGGAUUGUGUUGCGACAAACUACUGCGAAAGCAUUUGCCAAGGAUGUUUUCAUUGAUCAAGAACGAAAGUAAGGGGAUCGAAGACGAUUAGAUACCGUCGUAGUCUUUACCAUAAACUAUGCCGACUAGAGAUGGGGCAUCGUUCACUUACGACUUGCUCCGCAUCUUAUGAGAUAUCAAAGUCUAUGGGUUCCGGGGGGAGUGUGGUCGCAAGUCUGAAACUUAAAGGAAUUGACGGAGGGGCACCACCAGGAGUGGAGCCUGCGGCUUAAUUUGACUCAACACGGGGAAACUCACCAGGUCCAGACAUAAUAAGGAUUGACAGAUUGAUAGCUCUUUCUUGAUUUUAUGGGUGGUGGUGCAUGGCCGUUCUUAGUUCGUGGAGUGAUUUGUCUGCUUAAUUGCGUUAACGAAC
This 713-nucleotide ribosomal RNA is filed under the name uncultured marine alveolate. RNAcentral describes it as "SSU rRNA". It matches the Rfam family "Eukaryotic small subunit ribosomal RNA", at positions 617 to 1336 of the family's 1831-position model. The record is from RNAcentral.